This 68-nucleotide transfer RNA is filed under the name Rhizothera longirostris. RNAcentral's name for it is "tRNA-Lys". Lineage: Eukaryota; Metazoa; Chordata; Aves; Galliformes; Phasianidae. The record is from RNAcentral.
CACUAAGAAGCUAUGAACCAGCACUAGCCUUUUAAGCUAGAGAAAGAGGAAACCUCCCUCCUUAGUGA